Molecule: microRNA, 22 nt
Filed under: Callorhinchus milii (elephant shark)
Lineage: Eukaryota; Metazoa; Chordata; Chondrichthyes; Chimaeriformes; Callorhinchidae
Description: eshark_mir-1247_1
Source: RNAcentral
CCCCGUCCUGCAUUACCCAGUC